AUGCACGCUGGCGGCGUGCCUAAUACAUGCAAGUCGCGCGAACGGACGAGAAGCUUGCUUCUCUGAUGUUAGCGGCGGACGGGUGAGUAACACGUGGAUAACCUACCUAUAAGACUGGGAUAACUUCGGGAAACCGGAGCUAAUACCGGAUAAUAUUUUGAACCGCAUGGUUCAAAAGUGAAAGACGGUCUUGCUGUCACUUAUAGAUGGAUCCGCGCUGCAUUAGCUAGUUGGUAAGGUAACGGCUUACCAAGGCAACGAUGCAUAGCCGACCUGAGAGGGUGAGCGGACACACUGGAACUGAGACACGGUCCAGACUCCUACGGGAGGCAGCAGGAGGGAAUCUUCCGCAAUGGGCGAAAGCCUGACGGAGCCACGCCGCGUGAGUGAUGAAGGUCUUCGGAUCGUAAAACUCUGUUAUUAGGGAAGAACAUAUGUGUAAGUAACUGUGCACAUCUUGACGGUACCUAAUCAGAAAGCCACGGCUAACUACGUG
Molecule: ribosomal RNA, 496 nt
Filed under: uncultured bacterium
Lineage: Bacteria
Description: partial 16S ribosomal RNA
Rfam family: Bacterial small subunit ribosomal RNA
Source: RNAcentral